Culex pipiens pallens (northern house mosquito) is the source of this 520-nucleotide long non-coding RNA. RefSeq lists it as uncharacterized. The record is from RefSeq and is a predicted model, not a curated record. Lineage: Eukaryota; Metazoa; Arthropoda; Insecta; Diptera; Culicidae. The transcript is spliced from 2 exons.
AUAUAAAAAAUUUCGACGGCUUUGUUCGAACGCGAAUCAAUUCAAAACGGAACGUCGGAUCGGAGCGCUCUUUGCUGCGUUGGGUUCGUAUAAGCCCAAGGAAGGUUUUUACGCUAAUAAGUUGACAUUUUGGCCACUCUAGAACCGAUUCCGGAACAUCACCGUUUGUAUGGGGAAUGAAACGAAAAACUAAAUUUUGAUCAUAGGAGGCGUCAAGAUAAAUAUUCAAUCAAAGAAAACAAAACGUCAAAACGGAAAAGUUUAAUGUAGAACCAGGUGGAACAAACAGUUUUGAGGAGGUCAAUUAAUAAUUAACAUUAAAAAGGAAUGCUGUUUGGUCAGUAGAGAAAUGAAACAUAUUUGGCAGAGCACCCAGGCCGAAAAAAAAUACUUUUUUGAAGAAUUUUAAUUGAAAGAGUAAAAUAAGAUUGCAGAGAAGCAAACGAGGAAACAAAACGUACAUAAGAAGCAAAACAAAAAAUAAGAACGGUACUCCGUGAAGUUGUAACACACAAGUACA